AUACGGAGGGUCCAAGCGUUAUCCGGAAUCAUUGGGUUUAAAGGGUCCGUAGGCGGGCAAUUAAGUCAGAGGUGAAAUCCCACAGCUCAACUGUGGAACUGCCUUUGAUACUGGUUGUCUUGAAUUAUAGUGAAGUAGAUAGAAUAUGUAGUGUAGCGGUGAAAUGCUUAGAUAUUACAUAGAAUACCGAUUGCGAAGGCAGUCUACUAACUGUAUAUUGACGCUCAUGGACGAAAGCGUGGGGAGCGAACAGGAUUAGAAACCCUAGUAGUCC
Molecule: ribosomal RNA, 274 nt
Filed under: uncultured bacterium
Lineage: Bacteria
Description: partial 16S ribosomal RNA
Rfam family: Bacterial small subunit ribosomal RNA
Source: RNAcentral